This 492-nucleotide ribosomal RNA is filed under the name uncultured bacterium. RNAcentral's name for it is "partial 16S ribosomal RNA". It matches the Rfam family "Bacterial small subunit ribosomal RNA", at positions 29 to 507 of the family's 1533-position model. The record is from RNAcentral.
AGUGAACGCUGGCGGUAGGUCUAACACAUGCAAGUCGAACGGCAGCACAGUAAGAGCUUGCUCUUACGGGUGGCGAGUUGCGGACGGGUGAGGAAUACAUCGGAAUCUACUUUUUCGUGGGGGAUAACGUAGGGAAACUUCCGCUAAUACCGCAUACGACCUACGGGUGUAAGCAGGGGAGCGUCGGACCUUGCGCGAUUGAAUGAGCCGAUGCCGGAUUAGCUAGUUGGCGGGGUAAAGGCCCACCAAGGCGACGAUCCGUAGCUGGUCUGAGAGGAUGAUCAGCCACACUGGAACUGAGACACGGUCCAGACUCCUACGGGAGGCAGCAGUGGGGAAUAUUGGACAAUGGGCGCAAGCCUGAUCCAGCCAUACCGCGUGGGUGAAGAAGGCCUUCGGGUUGUAAAGCCCUUUUGUUGGGAAAGAAAAGCAGCAGGUUAAUACCCCGCUGUUCUGACGGUACCCCAAGAAUAAGCACCGGCUAACUUCGUG